CGUUGUCCGGAUUAUUGGGCGUAAAGAGCUCGUAGGCGGCUGGUCGCGUCUGUCGUGAAAACUUCCGGCUCAACCGGGGGCUUGCGGUGGGUACGGGCCGGCUAGAGUGCGGUAGGGGUAACUGGAACUCCUGGUGUAGCGGUGGAAUGCGCAGAUAUCAGGAAGAACACCGAUGGCGAAGGCAGGUUACUGGGCCGUUACUGACGCUGAGGAGCGAAAGCGUGGGGAGCGAACAGGAUUAGAUACCCUGGUAGUCCACGCCGUAAACGUUGGGCACUAGGUGUGAGGCUCCUUUCCGGGGGUUUUGCGCCGUAGCUAACGCAUUAAGUGCCCCGCCUGGGGAGUACGGCCGCAAGGCUAAAACUCAAAGRAAUUGACGGGGGCCCGCACAAGCGGCGGAGCAUGCGGAUUAAUUCGAUGCAACGCGAAGAACCUUACCAAGGCUUGACAUAUACUGGACCGCAUCAGAGAUGGUGUUUCCCUUCGGGGCUGGUAUACAGGUGGUGCAUGGUUGUCGUCAGCUCGUGUCGUGA
RNAcentral lists this ribosomal RNA (533 nucleotides) under uncultured bacterium. RNAcentral describes it as "bacterial SSU rRNA". It matches the Rfam family "Bacterial small subunit ribosomal RNA", at positions 539 to 1070 of the family's 1533-position model. The record is from RNAcentral.